AGAGUUUGAUCAUGGCUCAGGAUGAACGCUGGCGGCGUGCUUAAUACAUGCAAGUCGAGCGAGGACCACUUGGUGGCAACACCGGGUGGCUCCUAGCGGCGAACGGGUGAGUAACACGUGGGCAACCUGCCCCCGACUCUGGGAUAAGCCCGGGAAACUGGGUCUAAUACCGGAUACGAGCCUCCUCCGCAUGGGGGAGGUUGGAAAGGGUCUCCGGUCGGGGAUGGGCCCGCGGCCUAUCAGCUUGUUGGUGGGGUAACGGCCCACCAAGGCGACGACGGGUAGCCGGCCUGAGAGGGUGAACGGCCACACUGGGACUGAGACACGGCCCAGACUCCUACGGGAGGCAGCAGUAGGGAAUCUUGCGCAAUGGGCGAAAGCCUGACGCAGCGACGCCGCGUGCGGGACGAAGGCCCUCGGGUUGUAAACCGCUUUCAGCAGGGACGAAGCGAAAGUGACGGUACCUGCAGAAGAAGCACCGGCCAACUACGUGCCAGCAGCGGCGGUAAUAC
Molecule: ribosomal RNA, 512 nt
Filed under: uncultured bacterium
Lineage: Bacteria
Description: bacterial SSU rRNA
Rfam family: Bacterial small subunit ribosomal RNA
Source: RNAcentral